Molecule: microRNA precursor, 109 nt
Organism: Sorghum bicolor (sorghum)
Lineage: Eukaryota; Viridiplantae; Streptophyta; Magnoliopsida; Poales; Poaceae
Rfam family: MIR5565 microRNA precursor family
Source: Rfam
GUUGUCGUAUUUACUUCAAUCCAUGUGUGUUGGUGUGGAUUGGAGUGGAAUCUAGUUCAAGUUCCACUCCAAUCCACCUCAACACAUGUAGAUUGAUGUGAAUAUGACU